CCCUGCUUCACCAAAACUAGAGUUCAAAUCCACUCCUACUACACCAGUGACAGAGAGAUGGCAAAAGCCUAUGAGCACGUAUGGAUCAGUCCAUCUUGUCCCAAAUGGAAGAAGACCUUUGGGAAAGAGCUACUCCACAGGGGCAAAUGCAGACUUACUGCCUCCUUUGCCCCCCUCCUCCAGAGCUGCACAUGUUUCGCAACCACAACAUCACCACCACCA
Molecule: long non-coding RNA, 222 nt
Organism: Boleophthalmus pectinirostris (great blue-spotted mudskipper)
Lineage: Eukaryota; Metazoa; Chordata; Actinopteri; Gobiiformes; Gobiidae
Exons: 3
Source: RefSeq, a predicted model, not a curated record